This 91-nucleotide transfer RNA is filed under the name Ailuropoda melanoleuca (giant panda). It matches the Rfam family "tRNA". Rfam says of the family: Transfer RNA (tRNA) molecules are approximately 80 nucleotides in length. The record is from Rfam by way of RNAcentral. Lineage: Eukaryota; Metazoa; Chordata; Mammalia; Carnivora; Ursidae.
GCCUGGGUGGCUCAGUUGGUUAAGCAUAGGACUCUUGAUUUCAGCUCAGGUCAUGAUCUCAGGAGCAUGGGAUCGAACCCCAACUCAGGCU